This 443-nucleotide ribosomal RNA is filed under the name uncultured bacterium. Its description in RNAcentral is "partial 16S ribosomal RNA". It matches the Rfam family "Bacterial small subunit ribosomal RNA", at positions 338 to 795 of the family's 1533-position model. The record is from RNAcentral.
CCUACGGGUGGCAGCAGUGGGGAAUAUUGGACAAUGGGCGGAAGCCUGAUCCAGCAAUGCCGCGUGAAGGAAGAAGGCUUUCGGAUUGUAAACUUCUUUUGUACGGGAAGAAUAAAGUGCCGUGACUGUAAGAAUAGCCAGCGGCUAAAUACGUGCCAGCAGCCGCGUUAAUACGAAGGUGGCAAGUGUUACCCGGAUUUCCUGGGUGUAAAGGGCGAGUAGGCGGGAUUGCAAGGCAGAUGUGAAUACUAUGGGCUUAACCGAUAAAGUGCAGUUGAAACUGUAGUUCUUGAGUGAUGGAGAGGCAGACGGAAUGCCUGGUGUAGCGGUGGAAUGCGUAGAUAUCAGGAGGAACACCAGUGGCGAAGGCGGCCUGCUGGACAUCAACUGACGCUGAGGCGCGAAAGCGUGGGGAGCAAACAGGAUUAGAUACCCUUGUAGUC